CUCGCAAAGGACUGGAUAGUC
RNAcentral lists this small nuclear RNA (21 nucleotides) under Arabidopsis thaliana (thale cress). Its description in RNAcentral is "snRNA_04499". The record is from RNAcentral. Lineage: Eukaryota; Viridiplantae; Streptophyta; Magnoliopsida; Brassicales; Brassicaceae.